GGAAUUAAUGAGGACGGAAGCUCUUCUUAUGGUUUUUCUGGCGCGUAUAUAUGAGGAGGCGCGUACCAGCAAAUGAUAUUCGCUACCUUACGGAACCGACUGGAUCCUCGAAAAACCAUAUCUUUUGUGACAAUCACAACCUCUGAAACGCCAAGAUGAAACUCAUCGCCUACAUCUUCGCAGUCCUCAUGGCUCUGCUCGUAGUACUCUCGUGCUCACCUCUGGCUCUUGUGAUGGCAGGAAGAGCCAGGAAUGGAAGCCCUUCAACUGCUCACACCGGAAGAAGUGCAACAUAAAACAUGCGCUGAACGAAUAAUGAGACCGAGGGGUAACUAUCCUGUUGGUGGUGUUGCUUUCUUCCGGGCAAAAUCAGAACUCAAAAUAGAAGAAUCCUGUCGAGGUUCUCUCUGCUAUAAGCUGAUUUUAAUGUAAAUUAUAAAAUAAUCUAAUAAAAAUGUAAGCUAUCGA
This is a long non-coding RNA of Uloborus diversus, 468 nucleotides long. RefSeq lists it as uncharacterized. The transcript has 5 exons. NCBI's taxonomy places the organism in Eukaryota, Metazoa, Arthropoda, Arachnida, Araneae, Uloboridae. The record is from RefSeq and is a predicted model, not a curated record.